GGCAGCGGCUCGAGCGCAGCCUAAAUUUAGCCCCGGUAUAAAAGGACGCGGCGGCGGCGGCCGCAGCCCGAGCGGGGCGGAGCGGAGCGGGGCCCAACGGCGGCCCCUGACCGGCCCCCAGCGCGGGGAGCGGAGCCGGGACCCCCCCAACACGCGCACACGGAGACACACGCACGUACACAGACACACGCACACACAUACAUGCAUACACACGGACACGCACGCACACACACGCUCACAGACAGGCACUGACAUGCACACACACAUGCGCACGCACAUAAGCGCACAUACAUGCACACACACGCACAUACGUGCACACACACGCACAUACAUGCACACAUACAGACACAGACACUUCGGACACGGGGUGCCGGGGGUGUAGGGUCCCCGCGCGUGGCACUGAUGGCUCUGCGUCUCUGUGGGACCCCCGUGGGGAUUGGGGUCGGAGGCUAUGGGGGGCCGUCCGUGACGCGGGGUGAUGGCGGUGAGCCCACGGCCCGCAGACACCGCGAGGGGGUGGGGGUUCGCUCCCCUCCCGCAGCGGCUGCCCUCCGCCCCGAUGCUCCCGGCGGUGCCGUCGGAGCCGCUCGGUGCUUCCUGGGCCGGAGCCGUGCGAGCAGCGGGAGCUCUGGGCUCGGGCAGUUCCCGUUUGCUGCACAAAGCACCCAAAGCAACGUUUCCUUAUGCUACAAGGACAGAGACAACGCAAGGAGCUCCUGAGCUCUCCUUUGGCCGUCGCCAAAUUCUGGUCUUGGGCUGAAUGUUUCCGAGGGGAACGCUGUGCUCCCUUGCCUCGGCCUGUGGCCCCAGUGCCCGCUCUUAAGGAACGAUUCUCCAGUAAUUUUUGAUAAUGUGCCCCAGGCUGCUGCCUUUGAGAAUCGCAGCUGCUUGGCAGCCGUCCAGGACAGAAAGAGCAAAAGUGGCAAUUCUGAAAUGAGGAAAAUGAUGAUCUAUUGCGGAUAGAGAGAUUCUUUGAAAGCCAGCUUCAGGGAAAGAGCCGCGCUUCCCCCGCACCUCCUCCAUAUUUUCUUUGCGAUCAAUUCUAAAAGAAUUUCUGCCUUAUAGAUGAGAAAAAAUGUAGAACAACCCUUGCUUUUAUGUGCUGUGUGCCCCGAGAGGGGAAGGAGUGAUGGGUUCUGGAUCUCAAGGAGCAUUCUGAGCGUGUUCGCUAAAGCCCAUCCCAGGAAAGCACAGUUGCUAGGGGGAAUAAAUGCUCUUUUCAAUAGCUGCACAUGUUUUAACAUAACGAAUACCUCUUGUAUAACUUUCUAUACUUUUUACUCUGAAAGUUCGCAGGAUGGCCAGGAGGAGCAGCCAAACUUCUGUGAUUGGAGCAGAAUCAAUACACCGAAUGCAUGGUAACGAAGUACACAAAGAUGUGUGACUCAUCGCUGUGCAAUGUCACACUUGUGUAAUCUUUCAAUGUAAACUCUUUUCCUCUAAUAAAAUGUUAGUAAGUGCACAAUACGUAUAUAUGGCGCUGUGAGUCAGCCAAGAAAAUACACUCUGAUGAAUUCAGAAUGAAUGUGAAUGUUCCCUCGAUAACACACCCUGAAUGUCUGUGUCAGUUUAUGUGCUUGUGAUUUCAGCAACAGCUAUAGCAAAAUAUUUUGUUUCUAGGAUAUACAACUCCAUGUACGUUCGCAGCAGCUCGGCCGGACGCUGCCUUCCAGUCGGCGCUGUGAGGACGUUUGUUGGUAGCAGAGCUCUGUCACCCAGCUGCAUCCCUUUUCUUUUCAUAAGAGGGACGUUUAAUGGGCAGGGAGGAUGAAAGCUGAGCUGGUGAAAUAAUGGAUUCACUGCCUUUCGUUUCUUUUUGUUUUCCAAUAAGGCUACAGAGCUACCAGACGAUAGCUAUAUUAAACCUGGUGAGAGGCAUGUGAGAAUUUGUUUACGCUGUGAGUCACCGUGCUGUACAAAUUGGGCACAGCUCUGCCAUGACCUUCCUCGGAUCUGCAAUCAAGCACUGACAUUUUCCGGCUUCAUUAAUUUAUUUGUGUAUUGCUGUAUGCAAUGGUUAUUUAAAAUGUCUGAUAUGGAGACCCUGGCACUGAUCUCACUAACGGCAGCAUAGGAAAGGAGUGAUGCCACUGGUGUGGGGAAGCAAAGAAUGUGAGAUUAGAAGUAUUUCUUAAUCUGUCGUGGGUAGAGGAGAACUAAAUGAUGUGUGAUUUGUCUUCCAGCCAAAGCAAACACAGGCUCUACCAUUUCUGAACGACAGCGUUGGUUUUUCGAGGUGUUGCUGCUGAUCUCUGUUGUUGCUUUUACAUCAAGGGAAACUUGUGAAGGGAUUGUAGUCACGAAAUAAAGGAUUGAGAGCUGGGGCGAUGAAGUGCACCCGUGGUGAAACUGCAGCUGGAGCGGUUGGGGAGAUGCCCACACGUCACCUGGCUUCUGCGGCUCUGAGUCAUCGCACAACUCAAACAAACAAACAAACAGAGCUGCUUUCACGUGGGACGGUUCUCAGGGCGUCCUGCUGCACCUCAGCCUCUAUCAUGGCAGCGGGGAAAGGGCUGAGCUUGGAGCUCUCAGCACCGCGGGCGAUGCUGUGACCAAGCACUGCGUGCGCAGGAGGCACAGACGCCGUAUCUCUGUCCCAAACUGCCACCAUUCUGUUGACUCUUUCUUUCUUUCUUUCUUUCUUUCUUUCUUUCUUUCUUUCUUUCUUUCUUUCUUUCUUUCUGUCUUUCUGUCUUUCUGUCUUUCUGUCUUUCUGUCUUUCUGUCUUUCUUUCUUUCUUUCUUUCUUUCUUUCUUUCUCAGACUCUGAAUUCGUGUUUUCAAAAGUCUGAUAUCAAAGAAGAAGUCAGUAAAAUGAUGUGAACUACCACAUGAAGGAACUGUACAGGUGUUUUUAAGAUAGGCAUCUCUCAAUGUUGAAGAGUGAUUUAAUCCCAUAGGCCUUUUUUUGGUAAUUAAAGUAAUAUCACAAAUUAACUUGAUAAAGGAGCCGUUUUUACCAGAGCUUUUCCUGUACAAGGACCUAAAGGGGAAGGCAGACCUCCAUCUCUUUGAUAGCAUGGAGCUCCUGGGGCUCAUCACGCCUUUGAUACGGCACAUUUUCCUUUUUGUGUGUCUGUGAUUUCCUUCUCAGCUGUGUGUAUGUUCUCAAAACCUUUCCCUCUGAGGCGUCUGACAGCAGCCAUCUCUGCAGCACUUCCUUGAUCUUUGCCAUCUACGACUUUAUCAGUAACGAUUUCUGUUUUCUUCCAGGUCAUUGUUAACAAUGCUGAAUUGUAAGUGGCCCUGAAAGAGAUAAAGAACUAAUAAACCUGCUGGAUUAAAAAUUAAAUUAGCUUUCAAGAUGUGCCAACUUAUGUUUGGACCAAUGUGCGUGUGCGCACCAUAUUGAUUUGUCAUGUUCUUGUUUCUUAAUGUGAAAAUCACAUUGCACAAGGCACGAGUGGCUCGUUGCAUCAACACUGCUGCCUUAUUUAAAGUGCAGUUAAAAGCCAUUGUCAUUAACUAAAGCAAUUCUGUUCAUCAUUCUUGUACCGUAUCAAAUCUCUCCAGUAUUUUGCCCACGUUUUUAUGGCGCAGAGGAGCCUAUGUGGGCCGUUCUGUUUACCCUGUUAAAAUAUAUUGACAUAAUAUCAACAUUCUUCAAGUCACCUGGGGCUUCCCCACUGUUCCAAAAUUGAUUGAUAAUAAACAUUAACCAUCUGGAUAUGUCCUUAGUUGGUUCUUCUGAAACACUCACUUAUAAGUUACCCAGACCUGGCAACUUAAUCUUGUUUGAGCUGAGCAGCAGUUGUUUUAACAUCCUCCUUAGUUACUGGAAUGGAAAGUAUUUCAACAUCAUUAUUGUCUGAUCUGAAUGCAGCAUCUGGCUUCUUCUCAAAGAGAGAACAGAAAUAUUUUGUUGUGCUUACUUCUGCUUUUUCAGCAUUACUAUUGACAGGUCUAUCAUGUCCACUCGUUCCGAUGGCAAUCCUAAUUCACUCUGGUGAAGCCUUAUUAACUCAUCUGGAAGGUGAACAAACAUCAGCCGUUGCUGAUACUUUCAGCCACUGCAGACUUCCCUGGGCACAAAGGAAAAUUAAGCUUAAAGUCCAUCUCAAUAAAUAAGUCUACUAUAAAAGCUUUCUCAGAAAUGCACGAGGAAAUACUGCCCCUGUGAUUAAAGUACGGUAAUGGUUCAGUGAAUCAUGCAAAAUUCAGACGUUCUGUGAAUUUAAUUGUGAGUAUGUAUUUUAACCCAAGUUUGCCUUGUGAAGGAUGACAGCAUUCAGCUAUAAAUCUUCUUUUGUCAUUUUCGGUUCGGGGGCUCUUCAGACCCACGGAGUUUGCCCCAGUUUUUUAAUUACCAGCUUUGAUUAGGUGUGCAGUUGUGCUUCUGCCAGCACUUCUGACACGUGCGUGUUGUUGGAUUGCAGAUGUCCCUUUCAGCUUUCAAUUAAAGACACAUUUGAUGAAUCUUUCUUUUCUUGUACAGAACUGUGAAAUGAUGCCACAGUUUCAAAAACUGUACUGUCACGUUUAUCAGUGAAACUGCCUAAAUUAUCAGGCACAAAUUAUGAGCUACAGUUUUCUAUUGUUUCCAAGUAGUUUUUAUUGCGGUGUCAGUAAUCAGGAGGUGGAACAGUGGGGUUGUGAUAGAGGCCAGAAAACACCUGGAGUGCUUUCACCCAGGUGAGCUGUAUCAGCACAGCAGCAUUAAUGCAGCCCAUGGGUUGCAUUCGUGUUGCUUUGGGAGCUUUGAGGCAGAGCAUGGUGGAAGGAAAAAUCCCACUUUGUCCUGGAACAAGACGCUCAGGAAGCCCACUUGGCUCUGUUUCCUGCUAACAUGCGGCCCUGGCUCGCAAAAUCUCUGAGAACAACAGGCUUGAGACUGCUCGGCUCCAUUAAAAAAGCUGGCAGCUUGUCAAGGCCUGACAGAAAACCUUUGAAAGCUCUGGAUUUCCUCCAGCGAACGUAUGAGGCUCCUACAUCGGUGACAAAUUAGACUGAAACAGCACAAAACGCUCCUAUAUAAAUAAGCCCUUUUUCUCUGCGCUCACCCUUUUAAUAGUUCGAACAUUAUUUAUAGUUAUUUCUCUGGAUGGAAAAAUAUUUUCAUGUUUUUCCAAAGAUGGGUUCUCGUGAAAUGUUUUCCCUGUUUGUUUGGUGGGUUGUGUGUGUGGGGUUGGUUGGGAUUUUUUUUUUUUUUUUCCUUUUUCCUUCGAGAUUUUUGUGACGGUUUUCUUAAGCUCCAGGAGCGACCUUUCCUUCCUGGAAACGCACAGCACGGCGUUGUGAGCUGCUCUCCAACCGUUCCAGGAGGGCUGAACGCCCCUCUGGCCGCUCACUUCGUCGGGGGCUGCAGGACAGGUCUGCUGCACUCCAUCAGUGCCUUCACCUCUGCGUUCCAUGCACAGCGUUGGUCCUCUGUGGGUUUUUCUCCUCUGACUUCUCUCUGCGAUUCCAAGGCGAAUCAUCCUUCCAGAAAUGCUUUCCAGUGUCAGAAGAGAUGUGACCUUCAAAACGGAGGAUCUGCUUUCUCCCUAGCUGACAUUUUUCAGUAUGUUUACAUACUGUGCAGUACGUACGCUAUGUUAACCUCACCCCCAGCAUCUUCCCAUGUCCGGCGGUAGCGAUGACCUGGAAUCAUAGAUGCUAAGUCCAGAACAGUGGAGCUCAGUGAGUGGCUAAUUUUUGAGGAGCAUUUCCAUCAUUACCUGGGCCAUCACCAGCCUGAAGUUAUCCACGCACCCGAGAUGUGAACAGGAACCUGCUGUGCCUCAUCCCAGAGCUGGGAGACACAGACCAGGCCGCUGCAGGUUGACUGUGGUGCGGUGAUUUCCCUGCCCUUUUAUUUCCUUGCUGGGAAGCGAUGUUUAUUCUCCUGCAGAUUUAAGCACUGCAGGGCUCUGUUUGCACUUAAAGGAGGGUGUGGUGGACAGUUCAUCCCAUUCUGAGAUGGUAUGGCCAGUUCUGAGCCAGGGCAAUUACGUUUAAUCCCACUCCGGCCCUAUUGAUUUGUGGAAUUCUCUCCUGUUUUCACUUUCUUUCUUAAAGGACUCUCUUCAGUCCUUCAUUAUCCUCAGUCAUGUCCUGAAUCAUUAUGUUAGAUUAUGCCUUAUAAAAAUAAAAAAAUAUACACGA
Molecule: long non-coding RNA, 6083 nt
Organism: Tympanuchus pallidicinctus (lesser prairie-chicken)
Lineage: Eukaryota; Metazoa; Chordata; Aves; Galliformes; Phasianidae
Exons: 2
Source: RefSeq, a predicted model, not a curated record